Gallus gallus (chicken) is the source of this 689-nucleotide long non-coding RNA. RefSeq lists it as uncharacterized. Lineage: Eukaryota; Metazoa; Chordata; Aves; Galliformes; Phasianidae. The transcript has 2 exons. The record is from RefSeq and is a predicted model, not a curated record.
CUGCGCUGGUGCUGGCCUGUGGUGCUGUGAUAUGGAUGUGCCAAAAAUACGUAGUGUGCAAGAGAGAAGAGAGAGCAGCAGAGCAGGCUCAUCCUGAUACCAACUAGGAGAGAGUUCCAACUGGAGACGAGGGCAGAACGGAGCUGGAGAGGCAGCCGAAGAGACUCUUGCCCCAUCAAAGAAGAAUCUCAGCCAUCGUCCCAGUGCAUUCCAUUCUGCCAUCCAAGAGGCCAAAGGUCUUCAAAGUCAUCUGGAAGACUUGGAGCUUGAACUCAAAGCCGUGAAAGAGGUCCACGGGAACAGUCCUGAGUGCUGCUUUCUGUCAGGGGACGGCCCUGAAAGUGAGAGCGGAGAACCAGCAGCAGAGCUUUUGUCCUUCACCCUGCAUUCUCUGGGACAAGCAUCAGCAACAUUUCAAAGAUUCUUAGCUCGGCACAGCUACAAUCCUGUUGAGGGUCCUAAUGAGGAGCCAGAAAGCGAGCUUCCUCUGACCGCUGGACAACACCUUAACGUCUUUGGAGCUGUGGAUGAGAAUGGCUGGUUUCAGGGAGAGCUGACAGAUGGCACAAGAGGACUGGUCCCAUCCAGUUUGGUUGCGGAGGUUUCAGAUGAUGAACUGGAUACAACGAUGCCUCCGGAGCUCUGUGCUCUCCUGCUGGAUACUUGAUGAAUAAGUGGAUGCAGAGAUU